CAUACCAUUUGCAAAAGUAGACAACCCAAGGUAUUGCAAAUGGGGUAUGUCCAGUAAUUUUUAAUAGCCACACUGGCCAAAUAUUCGUUUUUUUGCUUUUUUCACACAAAAACAAAUAUGAACGCUAACUUUGGCCAGUGUUUGUGACUAAGUGGCUACUAAAAAAGACUAAACAUACCCCACGUUCAAUACCUUGGGUUGUCUACUUUUUCAAAUGGUAUG
This 222-nucleotide microRNA precursor is filed under the name Pelobates cultripes (western spadefoot toad). The record is from RNAcentral. Lineage: Eukaryota; Metazoa; Chordata; Amphibia; Anura; Pelobatidae.